This 1259-nucleotide long non-coding RNA is filed under the name Piliocolobus tephrosceles (Ugandan red Colobus). Its description in RNAcentral is "lncRNA (ENSPTEG00000009531.1)". Lineage: Eukaryota; Metazoa; Chordata; Mammalia; Primates; Cercopithecidae. The record is from RNAcentral.
AGAAACCUGACAUCUGGGGAGGUGUUGAGGGGGAGUUAAUAGUUCUAGGGAGAUGUUUGGGGAGCGCUGAGGAUACGAUUUUUAAAACAGCAAAUACACGGAUAAGGGGAAAUUAUGGUUUCCUACGACUCUCUCCUCCCUCCACUUUCUCGUUUCACCAGUCUGUAGCCCCCCCAAUUUAGAGGCGGGUUCAGCGAGAUUAGGCUGCAGGAAACCAAGAGGCUCCACCGCGCUGCCGCCCCGGCCUCGUGAUGUAAUUGUUAUUUCUUAUUCGGAGACUGAACCGAGGAGAGCUGCUGAAGAAGUGGCAGCCCUGCUCCUUUUGCCUUGUCUGGUUGGGUCAGAUCCUUCCCGGGGAUGAUGUAGAUUGGCUGACAGACUCCGCUGGAGACUUCGCAGUGACAAAGCAGCCGAGGAUUAACCCUGCUCCUGGGUCCUACGUCUGUCCAGGGAGCUGAGCGGGGCGCUCCUCAGGAAGUGUUUGGAUUGUGAGCUAUUUCAGAACUCUGUUCUCAGGACUCAUUAUUUUAACAUUUGGGAGAAACACAGCCAGAAGAUGCAUACUUGACUGAAGGAGGACGGGGAAUCCGAAGACUCUGGAUGACAUCAGAGCUACUUUUCAACAACCUUCUCAGUUUUCUUUCUCAGAAAGCAGAGGCUCAGAGCUUGGAGACAGACGCCAACCAUCUUCAGAGUCUUACCAUUUCUCAUCUGGAGCCCUUGUGCUGGCCUCUUCACUGACGUCCUUGCUCCAGUCUUUCACAGCCACCAGGUCUUCCUGAAACUCCAGCUUGCUUGUGUUACUUGUCUGAUCAAACAUCAUGUAGCAACUGCAAUAGCAUAACAAACAUGGAAAAGUAAUAGAUCUUCCUUAAUCCUAGGAAUAAUUAACAAUCCUUAUUGUUACUCUGGGAAACAUUAAUAUAAUUAACUUUUUUUAAAAAUUUGAUAUCUUUAAAGAAUUGACUUUUCUUUAAGUCUGUUACUUAGUAUCUUAAUUGAUAUAACUUACGUUGUUUGAGGAGAAAGAUCCCUACUAGACUAAGCCUCCAUAUCAACUCAGAUUUUAUAAAGUCGCUCUAUGUGAAGCCUCCAUAUCAACUUAGAUUUUAUAAAAUUCCUGUAUUCUAAGCCUCCAUAUCAACUCAGAAUUUUUUUUCUUUUCCAUGAAAGGUUUCAAGUGAAGUAAUCAAAAUAAUUUUAAAAGUGUUGAUCAAACUGUCAAUACACUUUUUCUCCUCUUACUUUCUCUUCUUCAG